Molecule: ribosomal RNA, 127 nt
Filed under: uncultured bacterium
Lineage: Bacteria
Description: partial 16S ribosomal RNA
Rfam family: Bacterial small subunit ribosomal RNA
Source: RNAcentral
ACCUGAUGCAGCCAUGCCGCGUGAGUGAUGACGGCCUUAGGGUUGUAAAGCACUUUCACCAGGGAAGAUAAUGACAGUACCUGCAGAAGAAGCCCCGGCUAACUUCGUGCCAGCAGCCGCGGUAAAA